AAAAGUAAUAAGGGUAUUUUGGUCAGUUUGCUGAAAAAGCGGACCGAAUCUGCAAAAACGAAAAAGGUGACCCGGUUUUACAAAAGCCCAAAAUAAGUGGAUUUUUUAUGCAAAAAGGCCUAUUAUAUUUUUCAUAAAUUUUAAAUAAUAUAAAUUUAUAUUUGAGAGUAAAAUUAGUAUUAUAGUAUCCUAUAAUUUUUUUAGUUUAUACGAAUCAAACAAUGAAAUAUGAAUAACUCAUUCCAAUUCCCAAUCCACAAAUAAACCAAACAUCUUGGGGGAGUGGGCCAUUCCAAUUACUAUUCCAAUUCAUUCCCAUUCCAUUAUCCAUUUCAAUACCACCCUUGAACCAAACAAGCCCUAAGAUUAAGCUGAGAUUCUAGUCCCAGGAGAAGUCAACUA
Molecule: long non-coding RNA, 402 nt
Filed under: Ananas comosus (pineapple)
Lineage: Eukaryota; Viridiplantae; Streptophyta; Magnoliopsida; Poales; Bromeliaceae
Description: long non-coding RNA (ACOM_LNC030437)
Source: RNAcentral